RNAcentral lists this transfer RNA (96 nucleotides) under Phocaeicola vulgatus. RNAcentral's name for it is "Bacteroides vulgatus tRNA-Thr". It matches the Rfam family "tRNA". Rfam says of the family: Transfer RNA (tRNA) molecules are approximately 80 nucleotides in length. Their secondary structure includes four short double-helical elements and three loops (D, anti-codon, and T loops). The record is from RNAcentral. Lineage: Bacteria; Pseudomonadati; Bacteroidota; Bacteroidia; Bacteroidales; Bacteroidaceae.
AUAGCUCAGUGGUAGAGCACUUCCUUGGUAAGGAAGAGGUCACGAGUUCAAGUCUNCUGUCUUUCGACUUCGGUGGUUCGAAUCCAUCUUUGCCCA